This 69-nucleotide transfer RNA is filed under the name Monistria discrepans. Its description in RNAcentral is "tRNA-Thr". It matches the Rfam family "tRNA". Rfam says of the family: Transfer RNA (tRNA) molecules are approximately 80 nucleotides in length. Their secondary structure includes four short double-helical elements and three loops (D, anti-codon, and T loops). Further hydrogen bonds mediate the characteristic L-shaped molecular structure. tRNAs have two regions of fundamental functional importance: the anti-codon, which is responsible for specific mRNA codon recognition, and the 3' end, to which the tRNAs corresponding amino acid is attached (by aminoacyl-tRNA synthetases). tRNAs cope with the degeneracy of the genetic code in two manners: having more than one tRNA (with a specific anti-codon) for a particular amino acid; and 'wobble' base-pairing, i.e. permitting non-standard base-pairing at the 3rd anti-codon position. Lineage: Eukaryota; Metazoa; Arthropoda; Insecta; Orthoptera; Pyrgomorphidae. The record is from RNAcentral.
GUUUUAAUAGUUUAAUAAAACAUUGGUCUUGUAAAUCAAAAUUAAGCUUCUGCCCCAGCUUUUAAAACU